AAAUUGAAGAGUUUGAUCAUGGCUCAGAUUGAACGCUGGCGGCAGGCCUAACACAUGCAAGUCGAACGGUAACAGGAAGCAGCUUGCUGCUUUGCUGACGAGUGGCGGACGGGUGAGUAAUGUCUGGGAAACUGCCUGAUGGAGGGGGAUAACUACUGGAAACGGUGGCUAAUACCGCAUAACGUCGCAAGACCAAAGAGGGGGACCUUCGGGCCUCUUGCCAUCAGAUGUGCCCAGAUGGGAUUAGCUUGUUGGUGAGGUAACGGCUCACCAAGGCGACGAUCCCUAGCUGGUCUGAGAGGAUGACCAGCCACACUGGAACUGAGACACGGUCCAGACUCCUACGGGAGGCAGCAGUGGGGAAUAUUGCACAAUGGGCGCAAGCCUGAUGCAGCCAUGCCGCGUGUAUGAAGAAGGCCUUCGGGUUGUAAAGUACUUUCAGCGGGGAGGAAGGUGUUGUGGUUAAUAACCGCAGCAAUUGACGUUACCCGCAGAAGAAGCACCGG
Molecule: ribosomal RNA, 506 nt
Filed under: Salmonella enterica
Lineage: Bacteria; Pseudomonadati; Pseudomonadota; Gammaproteobacteria; Enterobacterales; Enterobacteriaceae
Also listed under: 1 other name
Description: bacterial SSU rRNA
Rfam family: Bacterial small subunit ribosomal RNA
Source: RNAcentral